This 355-nucleotide unclassified non-coding RNA is filed under the name Hevea brasiliensis (rubber tree). The record is from RNAcentral. Lineage: Eukaryota; Viridiplantae; Streptophyta; Magnoliopsida; Malpighiales; Euphorbiaceae.
UGUGAUUUGGAUUAAUCAUAUAAAAGAGUAAAAUAAAUUGUAUAAUUAUUACUGUACAAAAAAGUCAAAACUAAGUUUACAAAAUUGCCACUAAUCGUGCGCGUUUUUAUUGAACUGCUAGUCUCUGCAGAUGAUCUAAGAAGACCUCAAAGCUUACAUCAUCUGUAAACAAUAUAUCUCCGCCUGGAAGAGGAGAAUCAGUAUUGUAUGUAGCAGACGGAUUCAACUUUGCCAGAAGAAAACGAGCCUGUGAACCAUGUUGAUCACAAAUGACUAAACGAGGAACAGGAAACCUUUCCUUGAUUAUCGCAUCCACAUCGUCACGGGGCGCUUGCAGCAAUUGGGCAAAUGCCUG